RNAcentral lists this small nucleolar RNA (351 nucleotides) under Saccharomyces cerevisiae YJM541. RNAcentral describes it as "SNR42". It matches the Rfam family "Small nucleolar RNA snR42". Lineage: Eukaryota; Fungi; Ascomycota; Saccharomycetes; Saccharomycetales; Saccharomycetaceae. RNAcentral also lists the same sequence under 6 other names. The record is from RNAcentral.
AUAACAAUUUGUGAUGCUUUAGGGAGCCUAUUGUUUGAUGGUUUAUAGGAGCCAGAUUUGUCUUUUUGACUAAUUUUCAACCUAUUCUUACUUCCAAAACUGUUGCAAUGGCUCUCGUUUUUGUUAAAUUUUUCUCUUUUCUCUUCUUUGGCAUAGUUUAUUUUCAAUAAAUUAUUUCAGGGUGAGAUAGAGAAAGAAUAAUGAGUAUCGUAGAUAAAUCUUCGGUUCCGAAUAGUGUAACUGUUGGUGCUGAGGUAAUCCAUCUUUAAAACCAUCGCCGUUAGAGGUUGCUUCUGAUAUUUUCGGUUAAGCGACCCAUGAAAUGGUGAUGACCUGAGGUAUGGAACAUCU